This 460-nucleotide ribosomal RNA is filed under the name uncultured bacterium. Its description in RNAcentral is "partial 16S ribosomal RNA". It matches the Rfam family "Bacterial small subunit ribosomal RNA", at positions 338 to 795 of the family's 1533-position model. The record is from RNAcentral.
CCUACGGGAGGCUGCAGUGAGGAAUAUUGGUCAAUGGGCUUACGCCUGAACCAGCCAAGUCGCGUGAGGGAAGACUGCCCUAUGGGUUGUAAACUUCUUUUAUAAAGGAAUAAAACGAGGCACGUGUGCCUUUUUGCAUGUACUUUAUGAAUAAGGAUCGGCUAACUCCGUGCCAGCAGCCGCGGUAAUACGGAGGAUCCGAGCGUUAUCCGGAUUUAUUGGGUUUAAAGGGAGCGUAGAUGGGUUGUUAAGUCAGUUGUGAAAGUUUGCGGCUCAACCGUAAAAUUGCAAUUGAUACUGGCAGUCUUGAGUACAGUUGAGGUAAGCGGAAUUCGUGGUGUAGCGGUGAAAUGCUUAGAUAUCACGAAGAACCCCGAUUGCGAAGGCAGCUUACUAAACUGUGACUGACAUUGAUGCUCGAAAGUGUGGGUAUCAAACAGGAUUAGAUACCCUUGUAGUC